GUUAUCUGUUGCUGUAUUUUGGUAUUGGUCGUGCCACGCUCUAUUCCUGCUCAUGUGUGUCUUGUUUUUCUACUUCAGCAUAAAUACAGUUGGCUUGGCUCAAAGGGAGGAAUAAUUUUCAGGCUUUUUGGUUUUUUUUUUCUUAAAAAAAUUUGAGCUCUCCUGGUCCGUCAAGGGGUAUUUUCUAAAAAUCAUAUCAAAAAUACUUUCUCAUGUUAUGCCUAGACUUAUUUGUUAGGUAAAUUUGGGUGGCAGGGUGCUUCUUCAAAAAUAAAUUUGCAUACAGGGCCUUGUUUAGUUCCGAAAAGUGAAAAGUUUUCGGUACUGUAGCACUUUCGUUUGUUUGUGACAAAUAUUAUCCAAUCAUGGACUAACUAGGAUCAAAAGAUUUGUCUCCUGAUUUCCAGCAAAACUGUGUAAUUAGUUUUUGUUUUCGUCUAUAUUUAAUGUUUCAUGCAUGUGCCACAAGAUUCGAUGUGACGGAGAAUCUUGAAAACUUUUUGGUUUUCAGGGUGAACUAAACAAGGCCCAGAUACUGUCAGCAAUGCUUUCAUUCAGAGUAUCCUAUGUGUCCAUGUUACAAGCAGUUGCGUCCAAUUAUGGUCUUCCAUAUUUAUCUACUGUACAUGAAAUUACCCAAGAUGGCUCACAUUUGUAUGGCAUUGAGCUGGAGCUGCCUGCAUCGAUAGCCACUUUUGGUUCACCCCGCUGUUUUUACUGGGCGCCAUCGGGUACACAGUUGGCUAUAGCUUCUGAGGCCGCAGCUUUGCAGGCACUUAUGGCCUUGCAAACUUUAUUCGGUUUUGUUAUCGUAGAUUAUAGCCUCCAUAGUCUG
RNAcentral lists this long non-coding RNA (835 nucleotides) under Sorghum bicolor (sorghum). RNAcentral's name for it is "long non-coding RNA (SBIC_LNC004244)". Lineage: Eukaryota; Viridiplantae; Streptophyta; Magnoliopsida; Poales; Poaceae. The record is from RNAcentral.